This 263-nucleotide ribosomal RNA is filed under the name uncultured bacterium. Its description in RNAcentral is "partial 16S ribosomal RNA". It matches the Rfam family "Bacterial small subunit ribosomal RNA", at positions 88 to 354 of the family's 1533-position model. The record is from RNAcentral.
CCGGCGACCGGCGCACGGGUGAGUAACACGUAUGCAACCUGCCCGUCUCAGGGGAUAAUCGUCGGAAACGGCGUCUAAUACCCCGUAUGAAGCUGGACGGCAUCGUCUGGUUUUGAAAGAAUAUCGGAGACGGAUGGGCAUGCGGCGCAUUAGCUAGUUGGCGGGGUAACGGCCCACCAAGGCGACGAUGCGUAGGGGUUCUGAGAGGAAGGUCCCCCACACUGGUACUGAGACACGGACCAGACUCCUACGGAAGGCAGCAG